GCUGGGCAUGGUGGCGCAUGCCUGUAAUCCCAGCUACUCAGGAGGCUGAAGCAGGAGAAUUGCUUGAACCCAGGAGGCGGAGGUUGCAGUGAGCUGAGAUUGCGCCACUGCACUGCAGCCUGGGUGACAUAGCAAGACUGCAUCUC
Papio anubis (olive baboon) is the source of this 146-nucleotide unclassified non-coding RNA. It matches the Rfam family "Metazoan signal recognition particle RNA". Rfam says of the family: The signal recognition particle (SRP) is a universally conserved ribonucleoprotein. It is involved in the co-translational targeting of proteins to membranes. NCBI's taxonomy places the organism in Eukaryota, Metazoa, Chordata, Mammalia, Primates, Cercopithecidae. The record is from Ensembl.